Molecule: ribosomal RNA, 3546 nt
Filed under: Triticum aestivum (bread wheat)
Lineage: Eukaryota; Viridiplantae; Streptophyta; Magnoliopsida; Poales; Poaceae
Description: partial small subunit ribosomal RNA
Source: RNAcentral
AUGGGCAAUGAGAUGGGCAACAACAACGUUAUCGGUCAACAAGUACCAGAGGAGAGUGCUAAGGAUUUCGACAAAACCAUGGCCAACGCAGAUUAUUCACAUGAGCUCAGCAACAUAAAUGGUGAGAAAGAUACGGAGAAGGAUGUCACUAAGGAUGUAGAUAUGUCAGAGGUAUUAAAGGUCCCCCUCAUCUCUAGUGGUGGAGAUAAGCAUAUGGCUUCAGAUCAAACAAAAUUGUCGGCAGCGAAUGAAGACUUAGAUGGGAAGAAUAGGGGUUCACCUCAGGAUCACGCAUCAACAGAAGAUGAUGAUGGGAAUAAUUACUUACCUACAGAACAAAAUAAGGAGAAGGAUGGCGCUAAGGAUUUGGAUAUGUCAGAGGUGCUAAAGGCCCCUGUCAUUUCUAAUGGUGGAGAUGAUCAAAUGGCUUCAGAUCAAACAAAAAUCUCUGCUGCAAAUGAAGACUUAGAUGAGAAGAACAGGGGCUCACUUGAGGAUCAUACAUCAACACAAGAUGAUGGAAACCGUAACUUAUCUACAGAACAAGGUGAUGAAACACAGGAGGACAGUGGAACUGAAACAGCCACAAAUUCUGCAGAAACAGUUGCCCAUGUCGGCACCACAACUGAAGAUAUAACAAGCAACAAGGAUACUUCAUCAGCUAAUGAGCAAUUCACACAACUUGAACACGAAACUACAGAGAAAAAUGAAGAAAAUACCACUGCAAAUCCCGCCAUGUUGUUAGAGGAAAGCAUUGAAGGUCUGCCAGAAGACGAGGAGGAAUCUUGUAGUCAAGAAGUUGCAGGGGCGAGUGAUAAUCUAGUUGGAGGAGAUACAGUUGAAAACCUAGAAGGACAAACCGGAGUGUCAACAGUGGUGGGUGAUAAUCUAGUUGGAGAGACUACAUCAUCAACUGAAUCAAUUAUCAGUGGUUAUCUUGCUGACGAGAGUAAGGAGGUUGUCGUCGAAGAUGAGCCUAGAGAAAGAGAAAAUUCGUCAUAUGUAAAACCAGAAGGCGACACCAACCAAGAAACAUUCAAGAAUGAAGAGAAGCAAGAAAUCUGUGAGAUAGGCAAAAACAAUACCUGCAAAACUAUAACAGAAGAUACUGUGGUUGAAAGCGCUGAAGUGCUAGAAGAAGACAAGAAGAUCCAAGGAUUGGAAAAUCAGGAGGAAGAAUUCCCCAAAUGUAAUAAAUAUGGUGCUCCCGAUAUUGUUGAAGCCGUUUCCCAGUUUCAGUCAACUUUAGCACACCCCAGUGCAGCAAGUGGCAAAGAAUUUCAGAAACAUGAACUGAGUAUAGCAGAACAGAUGUUAGAUUCUGUAAGUGUAGCAAUGGAGCACAAUGUAAUUAAAACAGCAGAGAAAGAGCAAGGGGGAAUUAUUGAAAGGGAUGUUGCAGACAAGAAUGAAGAAGAUAAUUUUGAAGGGGAUCAGAAAUCUGAUGGUAUGUCAGAGGUGUUAAAGGACCCUAUCAUUUCUAAUGGUGGAAAUGAUCAAAUAGCUUCAGAUCAAACAAAAAUCUCUGCUGCAAAUGAAGACUUAGAUGAGAAGAACAGGGACUCACUUCAGGAUCAUACAUCAAUACAAGAUGAUGAUGGAAAUAGUAACCUACCUACAGAACAAGGUGAUGAAUCACAAGAGGGCAGUGGAACUGAAACAACCACAGAUGGUACAGAAAAAGUUGCCGCUGUCGACACCACUACUGAAGACAUGACAAGUGGCAAUGAUACAUCAUUAUCUGAUGAGCAAUUCAAACAAGUUGUACACGAAAUGACAGAGACAAGUGAAGAAAGUACCAUACCAAAUCCCCUCACAUUGUUAGAGGGAAUUAUUGAAAGUGCGCCACAAGAUGGGGAGGAAUAUUGCAGUCAAGAAGCUGCAGUGGUGGAUGAUAAUCUAGUUGGAGAAGAUACAGUUGAAAGCCUAGAAGAAAGACAAACUGGAGUGUCAGCAGUAGAGGAUCUAUGGACACCAUCCUCGGUACAAGGAGCGACUACAUCAUCAACUGAAUCAAUUAUCACUGAUCAUCUUGAUGAUGAGACUAAGGAGGUUGUCCUCGAAGAUGAGCCUAGAGAAAGAGAAAAUUCAUCACAUGUACGACCAGAAGAUGACACCAACCAAGAAACAUCCAAGAAAGAAGAGAAGCAAGAAAUCUGUGAAAUGGGCAACAACAAUUCCUGCAAAACCAUAACAGUAGAUACUGUGAUUGAAAAUGAUGAGGUGCUAGAAGAAGACGAGAAGAUCCAAGGAUUGGAAAAUCAGCAGGAAGAAUUUCCCAAAUGUAGCGCAUAUGGUGCUCUCGACAUUGUUGAAGCUGUUUCCCAAUUUCAGUCAGCUUUAGCAGAUCCCAGUGCAACAAAUAGCAAAGAACUUCAGAAACAUGAACUGAGUAUAGCAGAACAGAUGUCAGAUUCUGUAAGUGCAGCAAUGGAGCACAAUGUAAUUGAAACAGCAGAGAAAGAGCAAGGGGGAAUUGUCAACAAAGAUGUUGCAGACAAGAAUGAAGAAGAUAAUUUUGAAGGGGAUAAGAAAUCUGAUGGUAUCCAUGACUCUCUUGGUCUUGCCAAGGUCCACGGAGAAGAUUUUACAGGUUUAGGCCCACCAUUAUCUGGCCCUCUUCCUAUUUUGAAUGAAGAAAAGGUACAUGAAGAAGUCAUCAUAGAAGAAUUAGCUGCACCAAUGACUGCAACAUCACAUGCUCUUCAACCAGUAGAAGAUUUUGUCAAGGAAGAUAUUAAACCUGAUAGUUCGGAUAGUAAUGAAGGAGCCACCACCUCCACAUGUGAAGCAAAGGCUAUAGAUACACAAGAAACCAUGAACAGCUCACAGUGUGAUCAGCCUCAACCGUUACUGCUUGAAGAACCUGAAGUUGUCAAGUUUGAAAACAGUGAGACUCUGAGCACCUGCAUGAAGCCGGUGGAAUGCAGUUCAGCGACAGACUUGAUCUUCCCUAAUUUAUUCAACAAGGAGAGACAAGGCACAUCUGAUAAAGCCACAUGUUUUACUUCUGAAUCCAAUCAGGAGAAAGUCACAGGGACUGUAGGCUUUGCUGUUGAAUCGGAACAGAAGAAAGUUAUUGCAAAUGCUGAUGAUUCUAGUGAGGAACAGUGUCUGCUUCAGAAACCAACUCUAGGGACAGAUGUGGGUGAAGAGACUCCAUUACUUCUGAGUACAGAAAGCAUCAACUCUUUAAGUUAUUCUAGUGAACAGCACAGCAAAGUAGUCAAGGACAUCCCCAUGACCAACAUCACUCUGAUGCAAGCCAAAGAUGAAGCUGUGGAAGAAUCUGAGAAGAGUCCACUGUUGAGCCCUAGGGAGCAAUCAGAAGGAGCCUUCAGAGCGCCAAAUCACUCUGCAAGAAACAAUAAACCACUUUGUAGCUUAAUGACGGAGGACGGCGUUGGAACGUGGUCACCAUUGAAGGAACAAGAACCGGUUCAAAAGAACAGCACCACGGUUAGUUCUCCUAGAAGCAAAGAAAAGCAGAAGCCAAAGUCAUCCCUUUUUGCCAUUUGCAUGUGUUGCACUACAGCUACGGACUGA